UCUUCACUUCCUCUUCAACUUCUAGUGUUAAAGGUUAGGGUUUUCUAUGAUUGGACCUAGAAGGCCAAAUCGAAUCUUGGCUUCUCUAGGUAUGAAUGAAAAUAGUAACCAAGCCACAUUGUAGUAGAUGUGGAAGAUGAUACAAGUGUAUAGUGGUGGGGGUGUUAAUUGUGAUGAAGAUGUUACUUCCUUUGUUGAUAUUGAUGUUGAGCCAGAAAUUGAACCUAUAAUUGAGAGUGAUAUUGAUCUAACCAUUCAAAAGAUGCACAAGAUAACAUUGUAGAAAUUUCUUUCCAAGAUUGGAGGUAGUAUCUGAGGUUAAUAUCAUUUUCAAGCCUUGACAAUUUAGUUUUUUGCAGAGAGUGUACAUCCAUCUACAUCCAACACCUGAAUGCCCUUCAAAACCACACAUCUGACAGGUAACCUGUAACAUCAAAGUUUAGUGUUACCCCCCCUAUUUUCAAAAUAUAUUUAAUGUUACAUACAAAAUUACAGUCACAACUAAUCUGAAGAAAACAAUGGAUCAUGUUUACAAUAAAAUGAAAUUAAAGCAAUACAAAUUGAAUAUGGUUGAUUGAAAUGUUUUACCGUCAUUUUUUUCAGGAAAUGGAACAGAAAUUGAAGAGAUUUAAGUGGAGUAUGAAACUAGGGUUUUCUAGUGCAACCAAAUUGGAAGAUAAUGAGAAAGAAUAGAAGAAGACAAUCUUUUAAAGAGAAAGAAUGGAAGUUAAACUUGGUUUAUAUAGGUUUUAAGAGAAAUGACCGUUGUUGUUUGAUUUAGGUUGUUGUAGCUUACAUUAAUGGUGAAGUGAAGAAAACCAGAAAAAGAAAAAGAGGGAGGAAGAUAAGACUACAACAGUUAUAUCCACGUGUCGUUACACCAACGGUAAGAUGACUUCUAGAUUCGCAAAUCUAAUUUUUUUACAAUCAAAGGUUCUAAGUGAAACUACUUUUGCUUGCUGAUGUGGCUAAGUGGGUUUCUUCAAAACCAUCGUCGGAAAACUCUGACGUGGCAUAACGGUAGUUUAGGUACUUUGUAUAAUAAUUUUACUAGAAAUUGAAAUAGGGGUAACAACAAAUCUUUUUGAAAUGGGGUGGGGGGUUCAUCUAAUUACGCUUUUAAAACUGGGGGUAUCGCUAAAUAGCUCAAAAUAUAAUUCAUUAUGCCAUUAAUAUUGUGAAAAUUGGGUUACAGAUGUAGAGCUGAGCAGAAGUUGACGCGAAAGUGCCAGAAGAACUUUGCUUUGGAAAUUUGAUUUCUUUAUAUUGAUUGACUUUGUUCUAUUUGAAUUCUUGAAAUACACUGGCUAAUGCUUUUUCUUAUGGUACAAGGAAGACUUUACAUGAGAUUAAGAGGGAAACAUACUUAUGUAGGAUUUUAAAGAUACUUUUCCAGGAAGAAAAAAAAAUGCAUGGUGGAGGAAGUAAUGAUGAUUAGGUUUGACCGUUUGGGUAAAGACACUAAGAGCAUUUUCAAUGGUAAAAUGGUUUUAGAGGUGCCACGUAGGAAAGAGGGUAUAGGUUUUAGGAUUAAACUAUGCUAAAAGUGUUUUUUACUUUUAGAGUUGCCAAUGGUUGUUUUUGAAUGAAAGAUAAAAAUAAC
This 1603-nucleotide long non-coding RNA is filed under the name Aquilegia coerulea. RNAcentral's name for it is "long non-coding RNA (ACOE_LNC001672)". The record is from RNAcentral. Lineage: Eukaryota; Viridiplantae; Streptophyta; Magnoliopsida; Ranunculales; Ranunculaceae.